Molecule: ribosomal RNA, 230 nt
Filed under: uncultured bacterium
Lineage: Bacteria
Description: partial 16S ribosomal RNA
Rfam family: Bacterial small subunit ribosomal RNA
Source: RNAcentral
GUCCUGGCUCAGGAUGAACGCUAGCUACAGGCUUAACACAUGCAAGUCGAGGGGCAGCGGGAUUGAAGCUUGCUUCAAUUGCCGGCGACCGGCGCACGGGUGAGUAACGCGUAUCCAACCUUCCGUACACUCAGGGACAGCCUUUCGAAAGAAAGAUUAAUACCUGAUGGUAUGAUGAGAUUGCAUGAUAUCAUCAUUAAAGAUUUAUCGGUGUACGAUGGGGAUGCGUU